UACGAAGGGGGCUAGCGUUAAUCGGAAUUACUGGGCGUAAAGCGUGCGCAGGCGGUUUUGUAAGUCUGACGUGAAAUCCCCGGGCUCAACCUGGGAAUUGCGUUGGAGACUGCAAGGCUGGAGUCUGGCAGAGGGGGGUAGAAUUCCACGUGUAGCAGUGAAAUGCGUAGAGAUGUGGAGGAAUACCGAUGGCGAAGGCAGCCCCCUGGGAUAACACUGACGCUCAUGCACGAAAGCGUGGGGAGCAAACAGG
This 253-nucleotide ribosomal RNA is filed under the name uncultured bacterium. RNAcentral describes it as "partial 16S ribosomal RNA". It matches the Rfam family "Bacterial small subunit ribosomal RNA", at positions 524 to 776 of the family's 1533-position model. The record is from RNAcentral.